UACGUAGGGGGCUAGCGUUGUCCGGAAUCAUUGGGCGUAAAGAGCGUGUAGGCGGCCAGGUAGGUCCGCUGUGAAAACCCGAGGCUCAACCUCGGGACGUCGGCGGAAACCAUCUGGCUAGAGUCCGGAAGAGGAGAGUGGAAUUCCCGGUGUAGCGGUGAAAUGCGCAGAUAUCGGGAAGAACACCCGUGGCGAAGGCGGCUCUCUGGGACGGUACUGACGCUGAGACGCGAAAGCGUGGGGAGCGAACAGG
RNAcentral lists this ribosomal RNA (253 nucleotides) under uncultured bacterium. RNAcentral's name for it is "partial 16S ribosomal RNA". It matches the Rfam family "Bacterial small subunit ribosomal RNA", at positions 524 to 776 of the family's 1533-position model. The record is from RNAcentral.